GCGCGCGGAGGCAGCACGGAAGGGGCGCUGGCCUCCGAAAGGGUUUCUGUACCGUUCGGUGUCGGGUGCCGCCACUGACUCGGCUCCCGGGGCCCGAAUUCCUUCUAGGGCGGUUGCAUCGAAUACAGAACGGCUGGGAUCGGUUCUCGCCUUCCCUGCCCCUGCUGUUCCUGUAGCGGGGACUGGGGCUGGGUGAGGGGCGGUUCCAGGGCGGGGACUGCGAAGUUGGGCGGGUACGAGUCAGUACCCCUCCCCCUUCCCAGCGCGUCUCAGAAAGUGCGCGACCGGGGAAGGAUGCGGGGUGCUUACCCGGGAGGCGGGUGGCUUCCCGCGCAGCGCGAGCGGCUACGGCUCGCGAGCCGCCUCCGCCCAACUUUCUCCCUCGGCUUUCCUAGUUUAUUUUCUUUCAGGCGCCCUAAUGGGCGGUUUUGACUUCUUGGUGGCACUGCGUAAUAAGCCAGUGUCACCCCUCUGACUCCCGUCCCCGCACGCGUGAUCUUGUUAAGGAAUUAGUCCUUUUGCGCGGAGUUCGGUUGAAUGAGAAGAAUAGGUUGGCAGCACAGACUUGUGAGAGGAAGUAGAUGAAAAAGAGUCUUUGGCACUUGUUUAGCCGGAAUCUGAGAAUAAUUUUGGAAAGUAUUCUCUGGAACAAGGGGGUGGGCAGAAGCUGGCUCCUGUAAAAGGACUCCCUACAGGAAAACGGAGACCUGUAAUGUAGAACGACCGCCUCGCCUUACGGAUGGGAAGCUGAGGACAGUCGUCGCUGUAAAACUUUGACAGGUGCCCAAUAUGAGAUGAAAAGAACAAGGGAAACGGGCCUAAGUCGUGUGAUAAGGGGCUCCAGGAAAGAAGCACCCCUCUGAAACUGGCCAGUAAGUCGUGUGAGACAGUGAUGGAGAAGACAGUAUGAGAAACAUGAAAGUUUUCGUUGUCUAAAAGAUCUGACAAUCUGGAUCCUCAAUGUGUAUGAAGCAUCAAAGUCAGAAGCAGCAGGCAAAUUCCAUUCCAGCCUUGACAAGGCAAGAGGAGAGGCAAUAUGCACACGAGGUGGUGGAACUUUCCUGGACCCUCCCAGGAAGGAAGCUAUCCCAGCCUCCACGGUGCUUUUCCUGCUUCCAGUGGUCGAGGCUGAAUCAUCAGGCGCCUGGUUGGCGUCUUCUCUGUAUUUGUCCGGCUGUGCAGAAAAUGUUUUAGAAGAAUCCUUUUCAGCAAGUUCAGCUUUGAUGUUACUAUCUUUUCCAUCUCUAAUAUCUACUAUUCGGUGGUAAGCUCUUGUCGUGUUUUGGUAUGAGUGUCUGUUGGUACAGGUCAGCACAUGUUCGUCUAGUAACUUUUCACAGCUGAAGCCAAAUCCACAACUAUCACAGGUAAAGCUCCGUCCAAAGCGUCGAGACACACGUUCUUUUGGAGUAGAUAAUUUGGACACAGAACUUUUUUUACACACAUCAAACAGCGGCUCGGGGAAGUUGGCCAACUGCAAAGACUCUUCCUCAGGUUCUCUGUGAUGCGGCGUAUUCACCGUUGAACUGGGCUCCGCACACCACCUGUUGGCUUCAUUGCCAUUUCUAGCCACCGUGUCUUCAUACAUUCUCACCCCAAAAAUCAUCUUGCUGCUCUGCCUGCUGGAGGCAGAAGACGAACACUUUGAACUAGAACAGUCUGCGUCCUGUAUGUCUUCCAAGCAGUCAGGAACAUUGUACAGCUGGAGGUAGUUCAUUGCCACUUUGAACUGCUCGAAACUGGAAGGAGCGGUCAUGAUCUUUCCUAAAUACAUGAACUGCAAAAUGAGAUCAAAGCACUCAGCACUUAUCUUCAUGUUGCUGAGGUUCAGUUGUGCAGUACUGUGCUGAUGGUUCAUGAAAAACAUCCUAAAGUAGGAGCUACAGGCAGCCAGGACGGCUUUGUGUGCUUGGAAGUAGAUGUCGUCGAUAGCGAUACAGCAGUCACAGAGAAAGCCCCACUCUCUUUGGUUGUUGAGCUGCUGCAGGACAUAGCUGCUGUGGCUGGGCUUUGCCAUCUUCUGCUGACUCGACCUAUGCAAAACAAAACGUAACGGUCAGGCGGCAGGAAGGCACUUCAAAAGGGACCCUUGAGCAUGACUUUCACUUGUGUACCUUUGCUAUGACAAUCAAAGCAUGGUUUUCUACUAAGUCUGAAGAUGAAAAUACCUAGUCAUUUAUUCAAUUUUCUCAUACUGAACAAAAAAGGAAUCAGAAGCAAAAUCCGUAAUUUUUUUUUAAAAUUAAAAACAAAUCUAAACCCAA
This 2264-nucleotide long non-coding RNA is filed under the name Mus musculus (house mouse). RNAcentral's name for it is "RIKEN cDNA 4930426I24 gene (4930426I24Rik)". The record is from RNAcentral. Lineage: Eukaryota; Metazoa; Chordata; Mammalia; Rodentia; Muridae.